Vigna umbellata (rice bean) is the source of this 2221-nucleotide RNA transcript. It is a transcript of the gene named Tetratricopeptide repeat (TPR)-like superfamily protein, with no coding region annotated. The record is from RefSeq and is a predicted model, not a curated record. Lineage: Eukaryota; Viridiplantae; Streptophyta; Magnoliopsida; Fabales; Fabaceae.
CCGAAAGAAAAACAUGUCCCACCUGAAAAUGAGAGAGAAGAAGCAUUGAACAAUGCGAAACAUUGAAGUUCGUCGAUUUUGCACUCUGAUAACCGAAGCAACCCAUAGAACCCCAACAACGAAGCCAUUCCUUCCCAUACCUCACCGAACCCUUCCCGAACCUCGAGGCCAGGAUCUGGACUUCAUCACCGUCGCUCACAGUCACGUCGUCAACUCCCACUGGGAAAAGCUACAUCCUUUGUGCCCCGUUCUCACACCCUUUCGUCUCAAACACCUCUUCCUCAACCUCCAAAACGACCACGUAUUGUCCCUCAAACUUUCCCAAUGGCUUCUCCAACACCACCCAUCCAUGCACACCCUCGAAACCCUCUCGUUCCUCCUCCACACCCUCGCCACACAUCGCCAAUUCAAAACCAUCCAAACCAUCCUCACAAAAAUCCUUUCUUCACACCCUCCCCACACCCUCUUCGACUCUCUCUUACACUCCUACCCUAUCUGCAAUGCUUCCCCUCUCGUCUUCGAUGCCCUCUUCAAAACCCUCGCCCAUGCCAGUAAAUUCCGCAGCGCCACCCUCACUUAUACCCUGAUGAAGCAACACGGCUUCUCCCUCACCGUUGAGUCCUGCAACGCCUUUUUAAGUUCUCUGCUUCGCCUCCGCAGAGCAGAUAUCGCGCUGUCGUUUUACCGGGAGAUGCGUCGCUCUUAUGUUUCGCCUAACGUCUACACUCUCAACAUGGUUAUUCGCGCUCAUUGUAUGUUGGGGGGAGUGCAGAAGGGCUUUGAGAUUUUCCAGAAGAUGGGGGACAUGGGCUUGAGUCCUAAUGUUGUGUCUUUCAAUACUUUGAUUUCGGGGUAUUGUAACAAGGGGCUGUUUGGCUUGGCGUUAAAGGUUAAAUCUUUGAUGGGGGGUCAUGGAGUGCAGGCUAAUGUGGUUACUUUUAACACUCUGAUUAAUGGGUUUUGUAAGGAGAGGAAGUUGCAUGAGGCGAAUAGGGUUUUCAAUGAGAUGAAGGUUGCCAAUGUGACCCCGAAUGUUGUAACUUACAAUACUUUGUUGCAUGGGUAUGGUCAGGUUGGAGACAGUGAAAUGGGUGGGAAAGUUUACGAGGAGAUGGUGAGGAAUGGGGUUAAGGCUGAUAUAUUAACUUAUAAUGCAUUGAUUUUGGGGCUGUGUAAGGAUGGAAAGACAAAGAAGGCUGCAGGGUUUGUAAAGGAGCUUGAUAAAGAGAACUUGGUUCCAAAUGCGAGUACUUUUUCUGCUCUUAUUACUGGACAGUGUGUGAGGAACAAUUCUGAGCGUGCCUUUCUUAUUUAUAGGAGCAUGGUGAGGAGUGGUUGUAAUCCAAAUGAGCAUACUUUUCAGAUGCUGAUAUCUGCUUUUUGCAAGAAUGAGGACUUUGAUGGGGCUGUGCAGGUUUUGAGGGACAUGCUGGGUAGAUUGAUGAGGCCAGAUUCCAGCACGUUAUCUGAGCUGUAUCAUGGACUUCACAGGUGUGGGAAAAACCAGUUGGCAUUGGCUCUGUGUAGCGAGAUAGAAGCGAGGCGACUCUUGCCGGAUGGGUUUGACAAAGAAAAAUUAUUCAUCGUCCAUCCUGAAAAUGAGACAAGUAGCUGAACUCUGGUAUUCUCCAUCAGAGAACUCUAAAGGAGCACUAGCGUUCAUUGGUGUAGCGGCACUGUUCAUGACAAUUUCUGGGCUGAUAUCAUCUUCCAUCUCCGAGCUCACUAUGUUACGCUAUUUUCCCAACUUUUUGGUGCAGGGAGUAGGAUCUGUACAGCAAGUGAAGCGUGAGCUGCUGCUGGGCCACAAGAUCAAGACUGCACUUGCUGUGAAGAGCUGGCUGACCUUUUCUGGACUGGUGAUGCGGCUGGAGCAAGCUGAAGGGGCAGGCCAAGUCAAUUUGGGCCAUGUGAGGAGCUGACUUACACUUAGAAGGCUGAACCUGAAUUAGUCUCGUAAAUUAGCAUUAGGCUGGAUUCAUUUUCUUUUCCCAUUUAAGAGCAACUUAGCUGUGUAGGGAGUACAACACCGCUAGACCCAUGUUACGACACUUUUACUUUUUUAGCAAAUUUGUGGAGAUUUCCAUCUUGUAAGGUAGAGUGCAGCCUCCAACCCUUGUGAGUGCAGAGUAACCUCAAGGGAAAGGAGUGUAAUCUGCUGUACGGUCUAGGUUUAGCGGUUUUGCUCCAAUCCUUGUGAGUGCAAAGGGAAAGGAGUAUA